This 66-nucleotide transfer RNA is filed under the name Tuxedo sp. ph57. Its description in RNAcentral is "tRNA-Gln". Lineage: Eukaryota; Metazoa; Arthropoda; Insecta; Hemiptera; Miridae. The record is from RNAcentral.
GCUUUGGUGUAUGUUGCAUAUGAAAUUUUGAUUUUCAUGGGCUUAAUUAAAUUUUAAGGAGCAUAA